UGCACCGCAACUGUGAGAGACGCCCUAAGGGUUUUAUUGCCAUUUGACUAAAUUGCAGUAGCAAAUGUGGAUCUUGAUUCUAAUGGUGGUAGAAGCCAAAUCGAGGAUGAUGGGACUGUUGUCCAAAAAAAUGGGAAACGGACCAAAGUUGUGUUGGAGAACAAAAUGAAGAGCUCAGCUGGAGUCCCCAUUUAUCUUGUAGGAGUGCGUUUUUUUGAGGAUGAGCAACUGGAUGAAAUACCAGUUGAGAAACCUGUUUCAGAUAUCCAAACUGGUGGAAGAGGUAGUGGGGUAAAAGUAAAGGCUGUGAGGAUCACGAAGUGGGCUUGUAAGUCCGAGGAACAGAUAAAUAUGCCAUGUUGUGCGUUGCUCUCCAGAGCAGGGCACCUGUAAAGGGGGUAAUAUCUGGCGUCUUGUGGGACGUCAAUGUUGAACAAAUUAAGAAUAUCCUUGGAGUGGUUGAUGUACGUCGGAUGAAUUGUGUGGUGAUUGGAGUAAAAGUAAAGAGUGUCUGUUCUGUUUUUGAUAUGGAAUCCCUCCCUGCCUGGGUGAAGUUAGGGUAUGUGAAUCAUCAUGUCCGAGCGUUCGUCCCAAGAUAGAUGCAGUGUGACCUUAGUAUGGCUUUUGGACAUGUCAAGUGUCUGUAGUACAGAGAAGCGAAGAUGUGGAAGUUGUGGAAAAGAAGAUCAUGUUGAAAGAGGAAGAUCAUGUUGAAAUGUUGCAAUUGUGGUGGGAACCAAGAAGCUACAUCUUUGAAAUGCCCGAAGAGGGCGAAAGAGAAUGAGGUUGCCCGAGUCAGGGCAGUCCAGAGAAUGUAGAGGCUGGCAAAAGGGUUAAGGGAACGAAUGGUCCUCCUGAAGACUCCAUGGUGUUGGAUAGGCUGCAGAGUUGGCCUCUCAUCAGCAGGAUCCAGAUAUGUUGCAUGUUAAGUAGGUGGACUUUGUGGCUUUUAUGGAAAUGGCAGUGCCUCCCUCUCAGGCCCUGGGGCGUUAUGGAAUUUUAAAUGAAGGAAGAAGUGGGAACUCUUUUUUUUAUUUUAUGAAGUUUCCUUUUUUCACCCUCGUCCAGUUGGUGGCGGUAAUGCACCGUAAACAUUGGAUGCCAACCGCAGAUAAACCCCAACAAAGAAGCGUCCCUGUGUCGCACAGUUGCCACAGCCGCAAAGUCAUACACCCUGCCUAUUGCUACAAUUUCUCUUUUUUAAAUGGGAUUUUAAUCCUAACUAUAAUUAACCCUAACCACACUCCUAACUGUAUCCCUAACCUUGAAUAUAGACGUUGUGUCUGUGCUAUCUAAACCGAGGUUUGAAGCGAUACGGGCCUUUCGAAGCUCAAAACAAGGGUUUUGAAACUAUUGAUUUUGCAGGUAGAUUCUUGAAAUAUCAACUGUUAUUUGUCUCGAUGGCUUUGGAGACUUGUCCCAAGGACCUCCACAAUUUGCGGGCAUUCUGUGUUCUCUUGUGAAGACUAUUGACCAGUUUGAAUAUGAUGGCUGUGACAACGGAGUCAUACCUUCAGAUGAAGGGGAAUCGAGAGAUGGUAUAUGAGUGUACAAGUUCCUCGUUUGAUGGCCCAGAUGAGUCCAGAGGACAGCUGGGUGGCCAAGUGGCAGAGAAUCAGUAACUGCAAACCAGGUGUCUAUGCUGUGACGGUGACAGGGCGGUUACCUCCAGAAAAUCUGAAAAAAAGUGGUGGAACCCAAAACCUGAAAAAACAACCAAGAACUUUAUUAUGGCUGGUAAGGAUUGUUUUGUAGAUUUAUUCACCUGCCACAGUGGCUGGUGGACCAAAAACUUAGUUUUUAGGCCCUGUUCAUAAACUGGGUCAUUCCAAAACCACUUGCAGGCAUUUGUUUACACUUUGUUCAGUCAUGCUAGCUAGGUAUAGCUAGUUACUUUACCAGUAUAGCUGGUUACUUUAUUUAAAAAAAAAUUGGGCACAGAAACAAAUGGAAAGGGGUAGCUUCUUUAGAAGAUCAGAGAGUAAAUGACUGAUCUCUUGUUAUAUCUCAACUGAUUACAUUUUUGGGGGGGCUUUGAUGUGCUAAAUGUAAUGUUGAGCUCUUUGUGUUUUUGUGCAUAAACGUUAACAAGAGUUCUGUCCGUAGUACUUUUCCCUCCGUGUAGUUCAUUGCACCAAAAGGAGAACACAGAUGUGGUUUAUUUCUGUGCGUGUUAAAAAAGUAAAAUAAGUAGCAUAUCUGGACAUGAUUUACAGUAGAUAUAUCUGUCAACACAGUCAUACACAUGAUGUAUAAUCCUGUAAUAUGAUUCUGGCCCACAAUGGCAAAAAUAUAUUCUAAUGUGGCCCUCCAUUGAAAAUAAUUGCCCAGACCUGCCCCUAGACCAACUUCAAUUUGCUUACCACCCCAAUAGAUCCACAGACGAUGCAAUCGCCAUCACACUGCCUUACCCCAUCUAGACAAGAGGAAUACAUAUGGAAGAAUG
Molecule: long non-coding RNA, 2446 nt
Organism: Oncorhynchus kisutch (coho salmon)
Lineage: Eukaryota; Metazoa; Chordata; Actinopteri; Salmoniformes; Salmonidae
Exons: 5
Source: RefSeq, a predicted model, not a curated record